UGGUGGCGAGUGGCGAACGGGUGAGUAAUGUAUCGGAACGUGCCCAGUAGCGGGGGAUAACUACGCGAAAGCGUAGCUAAUACCGCAUACGCCCUACGGGGGAAAGCAGGGGAUCGCAAGACCUUGCACUAUUGGAGCGGCCGAUAUCGGAUUAGCUAGUUGGUGGGGUAACGGCUCACCAAGGCGACGAUCCGUAGCUGGUUUGAGAGGACGACCAGCCACACUGGGACUGAGACACGGCCCAGACUCCUACGGGAGGCAGCAGUGGGGAAUUUUGGACAAUGGGGGAAACCCUGAUCCAGCCAUCCCGCGUGUGCGAUGAAGGCCUUCGGGUUGUAAAGCACUUUUGGCAGGAAAGAAACGUCAUGGGUUAAUACCCCGUGAAACUGACGGUACCUGCAGAAUAAGCACCGGCUAACUACGUGCCAGCAGCCGCGGUAAUACGUAGGGUGCAAGCGUUAAUCGGAAUUACUGGGCGUAAAGCGUGCGCAGGCGGUUCGGAAAGAAAGAUGUGAAAUCCCAGAGCUUAACUUUGGAACUGCAUUUUUAACUACCGGGCUAGAGUGUGUCAGAGGGAGGUGGAAUUCCGCGUGUAGCAGU
Molecule: ribosomal RNA, 600 nt
Filed under: uncultured bacterium
Lineage: Bacteria
Description: bacterial SSU rRNA
Rfam family: Bacterial small subunit ribosomal RNA
Source: RNAcentral